CCUGCGGAAGGAUCAUUGUCGAAACCUGCAAAGCAGACCGCGAACCAGUUCCCAACAACCCCGGGGCAGCGGGGGGCGGGCAACCUCCCGCCGCGGCCCCAACCCCGUCGCCGCGCGCGCCCGCGCCGCGUCGAUGGGGCUAACAAACUCGGGCGCGGAAUGCGCCAAGGAAUACACAACGUAGCGCUCCCCUCCCCUCCACGCCCCGUCCGCGGGGCGGCGGGGGAGCCCGGGGUGUCUAUCGAAUGUCCAAACGACUCUCGGCAACGGAUAUCUCGGCUCUCGCAUCGAUGAAGAACGUAGCGAAAUGCGAUACUUGGUGUGAAUUGCAGAAUCCCGUGAACCAUCGAGUCUUUGAACGCAAGUUGCGCCCGAAGCCAUUAGGCCGAGGGCACGUCUGCCUGGGCGUCACGCAUCGCGUCGCCCCCCUCCCCCGCGGGGUGGGGCGGAGAUUGGCCCCCCGUGCGACCCGAGCGCGCGCGGCCGGCCCAAAUGCGAAUCCGCCGUCGGCGCGCGUCGCGACCAGUGGUGGUUGAUGAUUCAACUCGCGUGCUGUCGCGCCCCGCGUCGCCGUCGGCAAGGAAACGAUUGCGAAACCCAACGGCGCGAGCAUCGUGCCCACGACCGCGACCCCAGGUCAGGCGGGAUCACCCGCUGAGUUUAAGCAUAUCAAUAAGC
RNAcentral lists this ribosomal RNA (678 nucleotides) under Paraleonurus chaituroides. RNAcentral describes it as "eukaryotic LSU rRNA". The stretch from base 256 to 411 matches the Rfam family "5.8S ribosomal RNA". Lineage: Eukaryota; Viridiplantae; Streptophyta; Magnoliopsida; Lamiales; Lamiaceae. The record is from RNAcentral.